RNAcentral lists this transfer RNA (77 nucleotides) under Acetobacter sp. Its description in RNAcentral is "tRNA-Glu". It matches the Rfam family "tRNA". Rfam says of the family: Transfer RNA (tRNA) molecules are approximately 80 nucleotides in length. Their secondary structure includes four short double-helical elements and three loops (D, anti-codon, and T loops). Further hydrogen bonds mediate the characteristic L-shaped molecular structure. tRNAs have two regions of fundamental functional importance: the anti-codon, which is responsible for specific mRNA codon recognition, and the 3' end, to which the tRNAs corresponding amino acid is attached (by aminoacyl-tRNA synthetases). tRNAs cope with the degeneracy of the genetic code in two manners: having more than one tRNA (with a specific anti-codon) for a particular amino acid; and 'wobble' base-pairing, i.e. permitting non-standard base-pairing at the 3rd anti-codon position. Lineage: Bacteria; Pseudomonadati; Pseudomonadota; Alphaproteobacteria; Acetobacterales; Acetobacteraceae. RNAcentral also lists the same sequence under 11 other names. The record is from RNAcentral.
GGCGAUAUGGUGUAACUGGUUAACACGUCGCCCUCUCAAGGCGAAGAGUUCGGGUUCGAGCCCCGAUAUCGCUACCA